CGCAUCUGUGCAUGCAGCAUAUCAAUAAGCGGAGGAAAAGAAACUAACAAGGAUUCCCUUAGUAACGGCGAGUGAAGCGGGAAGAGCUCAAAUUUGAAAUCUUCAAGGUUUUACCUUGACGAAUUGUAGUUUAAAGAAGUGUUUUCUGUUGAAGUUUUGGUAAAAGUUCUUUGGAAUAGGACAUCAUAGAGGGUGAGAAUCCCGUAUUUGACCAUUAUUUUCAGCUGUGUGAUACACUUUCAAAGAGUCGGAUUGUUUGGGAAUGCAGUCCAAAAUGGGUGGUAAAUUUCAUCUAAAGCUAAAUAUUGGCGAGAGACCGAUAGCGAACAAGUACCGUGAGGGAAAGAUGAAAAGAACUUUGAAAAGAGAGUUAAACAGUACGUGAAAUUGUCAAAAGGGAAGCGUUUGACACCAGUGUUGUUUUCUCGAAAAUCAAUUAAAAAGAGUUAGAUUUUGUUGUGUAUUGACCUUAACAGCUUGCAUUUCAAUUUUCUUGCUUUUUUUAAUGCACUUUUCGUUUAACAAGUCAACAUCAGUUUCUUUUGUUGUAAAAAGGUCAUUGGAAGGUGGCUUUCUUUUCGGAGAAAGUGUUUAUAGCCUUUGACUCCUGCAAUCGGAGAGACUGAGGUCUGCAGCGUAGAUCCUUCGGGGUUAGAUACAUUCGUGCUAAGUUAUAGCUUUUUAUAGACAACUUGUUGACUAUGAUUAGUCUUGUAGCUUACUCGCUUAUGUUAUUUUACCUACGCUUAGGAUGUUGAUGUGAUACUGCGAGC
Molecule: ribosomal RNA, 773 nt
Filed under: uncultured Neocallimastigales
Lineage: Eukaryota; Fungi; Neocallimastigomycota; Neocallimastigomycetes; Neocallimastigales
Description: partial large subunit ribosomal RNA
Rfam family: Eukaryotic large subunit ribosomal RNA
Source: RNAcentral